CAGGAGCGUCGAGGAGGGCAGCGCAAAUCCAACGAGGGGUGCGGUGCGGCGCGCGGUGCGGAUCCCGCCAUGAGGGGAGCGGCGAGGCGAGCUCGCAUGGAUCUGGCCAUGAGGGCAGCAGCGCGGCCAGGCCAAGGGGCGCGGCACGGAUCCUCCGCCGACGUCGCCAAACCCUAGCCAAGAGGCUACGCUGUAGCGAACUCCGAUGGCGUCGUCCGUGCUGCGCCAUCGUCGAGGCCCUAGCCAAGAGGAUUUGGUGCCCUCCGCCGCCGUCGAGGCACUACGACUCUGACAGCGUCGUCCGUGCUGCGCCUCGGCUUCCUCACCUCGCGAAGAUGGCUCCUGGUCGGAAAUCGACGACCCAGCCCUCAACUCGACGUGAACCAGCAGAGUCAAUUCACCAUUGAUAUGGAUGCUGAUCUAGUGAAAAAGUCAUAUUUUGAUCUUCUCAAAAAAGGACAAAGGUAGAUGAGAUAUAGGCUGAAGAAGCAAUACUUUGAUGGCUUACCCGCAAACCAAGUUAGAACAACUUCACCGCUGAGCACUAUGACUGACUUGGAGUGGAAACAGCUCGUGGACAAGUGGUCUACCCCAAAGCACAAGCAGGACAUUUCUGUGUUGCUAGCCAUCGUGCUGCUACUGCUGUCCUGUUGUUGGCACUCUCGUGUUGGUGCGUUGCUGCUCCGCUGCUGCUGGUCAUGUGAUGUGCUGGAUGUAGCUGAUGUUCUGAAGACAGAUUCUUGAUGUAGCCCAUGUUCUGCAGACAUUUGAGAUUCUAGAUGUGUAGCCUAUGUUCUGUAGUCAUUUGUGCUUUUGGUGUUGUAUUGCAGUUUGAAACCUAUAUCAAAUGCCUACGAUAUUUUAAUUAAUUGUGGAGAUUGCUUAUUUGAUUCUAGUUGUGUGGGCUGAAUAUAUUUGUGGGUUGGAUGUUGUAUGGGCCAA
This is a long non-coding RNA of Sorghum bicolor (sorghum), 942 nucleotides long. RefSeq lists it as uncharacterized. The transcript is spliced from 3 exons. Lineage: Eukaryota; Viridiplantae; Streptophyta; Magnoliopsida; Poales; Poaceae. The record is from RefSeq and is a predicted model, not a curated record.